RNAcentral lists this ribosomal RNA (292 nucleotides) under uncultured bacterium. RNAcentral describes it as "partial 16S ribosomal RNA". It matches the Rfam family "Bacterial small subunit ribosomal RNA", at positions 505 to 796 of the family's 1533-position model. The record is from RNAcentral.
GUGUCAGCAGCCGCGGUAAUACGGAGGGUGCAAGCGUUAUCCGGAUUUACUGGGUUUAAAGGGUGCGUAGGUGGGUCUGUAAGUCAGUGGUGAAAUCUCCGGGCUUAACCCGGAAAUUGCCAUUGAUACUAUAGGUCUUGAAUCAUCUGGAGGUAAGCGGAAUAUGUCAUGUAGCGGUGAAAUGCUUAGAUAUGACAUAGAACACCAAUUGCGAAGGCAGCUUACUACGGAUGCAUUGACACUGAGGCACGAAAGCGUGGGGAUCAAACAGAAUUAGAUACCCCUGUAGUCC